RNAcentral lists this ribosomal RNA (505 nucleotides) under uncultured bacterium. RNAcentral describes it as "bacterial SSU rRNA". It matches the Rfam family "Bacterial small subunit ribosomal RNA", at positions 28 to 524 of the family's 1533-position model. The record is from RNAcentral.
GACGAACGCUGGCGGCGUGGAUUAGGCAUGCAAGUCGAACGGUAUCAUCCUUUCGGGGGUGAGAGAGUGGCGAACUGGUGAGUAACACGUAGGUUAUCUACCCUCAAGACGGGGACAACCCAGGGAAACUUGGGCUAAUACCCGGAUGUGAGCAACUUUUAGUUGUUUGAAAGGUGGCGUAAGCUGUCGCUUGGGGAUGAGCCUGCGUCCUAUUAGUUAGUUGGUGAGGUAACGGCUCACCUAGGCAAUGAUAGGUAGGCGGCCUUAACGGGUGGUCGCCCACACUGGGAUUGAGAUACGGCCCAGACUCCUACGGGAGGCAGCAGUCGAGAAUAGUCUACAAUGGUCGGAAGACUGAUAGUGCGACGCCGCGUGAACGAUGAAUCCCUUCGGGGUGUAAAGUUCUUUUAUAUGUGAGCAGUGCUUCUUAUAUUAACAGUAUGGGGAGAGAGAUAUUAGCAUAUGAAUAAGCAACGGCUAACUCCGUGCCAGCAGCCGCGGUAAA